RNAcentral lists this ribosomal RNA (564 nucleotides) under Triticum aestivum (bread wheat). Its description in RNAcentral is "partial small subunit ribosomal RNA". The record is from RNAcentral. Lineage: Eukaryota; Viridiplantae; Streptophyta; Magnoliopsida; Poales; Poaceae.
CAGUCCCUCUGCUACCUCGGCGGGGUGACCCGGAUCUUGGCCGUCGACUGCAAUGCCUCCCUCACCAACAUCCAUGGCCAUCUCUCCCGCUCUCUCCUCGCCGGGCAGCCCUUCACGCUCAAGUACCAACUCCCCAACUUGGACCUCGACUCGCUCAUCUUCGUCUCCACUGACGAAGACCUUGACAACCUUGUCGACGAGUAUGACCGCGUCGCCGCCACCUCCUCCUCCAGCGGCGCCUCCUCCUGCACCUCCUGGAUCCGCCUCUUCCUCUUUGCCAAGCCCGAGUCCUCCUCCUCCCUCGGCUCCCUCCUCGACGACUCCUCCAAGUCCGAGAACUGGUUCAUCCACGCGCUCAACAGCACCAUCUUCGGCUCCUUCGACGGCAUCCCGCGCGGGAUCUCCACGGACUCUGCCUCCAUCAACUGCCUCCUCGGCCUCAAGGACGACAAUGCCUCGCAGCACUCGUGCAGCGGGGUGCCCAACUCUGGCCUGGCCAAGGACCAGCAGGCCAACCAGCAGAAGCUCGCAGCCGCCACCGCGAGGCACCAGCAUGACGUGUAG